AUGGUCCACAUCAACGCACAAACUCCCACCCGAAUAUGCCUUGCUAAUGCAGAAUCAAUCCCAUUAAGCCAAGUCCCAAAUAAAGCGGUAAUCGUGGUGGGUGGAGUAAUAUUAAAGGCAAUAUGCACCGUCUGCCAUAGAACCUUAGCUAGCGGGCAAUCAAAAAAGAGAUGUUUAAUUGUCUCAUCUCGAUCACAGAAACUACACCUAGUAGGUCCUGUCCAAUUUCGCUUUAUCAAAUUGUCCUUUGUGAGAAUGACUUGUUUAUGCACAAACCACAUAAACACUUUUAUUUUCAAAGGAAUUUUAACAUCCCAUACCUUUUUGGACGUUGGAAUAGAACUUGAGUUAAUAACAUCAAGAUACAUUGACCUCACUGUAAAUACCCCAUUCUUGGUCAACUUCUAG
This 408-nucleotide ribosomal RNA is filed under the name Triticum aestivum (bread wheat). Its description in RNAcentral is "partial small subunit ribosomal RNA". The record is from RNAcentral. Lineage: Eukaryota; Viridiplantae; Streptophyta; Magnoliopsida; Poales; Poaceae.